GACGUAGGGGACGAGCGUUGUCCGGAUUUAUUGGGCGUAAAGCGCGCGUAGGCGGCCUGGUAAGUCGGAUGUGAAAACCCGGGGCUCAACCCCGGGCCUGCAUCCGAAACUGCCCGGCUAGAGGUAGGUAGGGGAGAUCGGAAUUCCUGGUGUAGCGGUGAAAUGCGCAGAUAUCAGGAGGAACACCGGUGGCGAAGGCGGGUCUCUGGGCAACAACUGACGCUGAGGAGCGAAAGCGUGGGGAGCGAACAGG
RNAcentral lists this ribosomal RNA (253 nucleotides) under uncultured bacterium. RNAcentral describes it as "partial 16S ribosomal RNA". It matches the Rfam family "Bacterial small subunit ribosomal RNA", at positions 524 to 776 of the family's 1533-position model. The record is from RNAcentral.